UGAAGUAAAAAUGGCAACACCGCGGGAGUCUGGUCUGAAUAUAUCAACACCUAGCCUACUCUAUCUGCCUCCCGGACGGCUGAACUUUGAUUCCAGGGACAUAAAAUUAUUGCCCUUUUUUCUUGCUCUUUAGUAGUUUUUGACACGUAGAAUCCAUAAAUGUAGGUCGUAACUUUAGGAAAUUAGCGGUUCAAAAGUUAUGAGUAUGUAAAGUUUCACGUUUUUAGGGUAUUUUACACGCUACUUUGACGCCAUGUUGCUUCCAUCUAUUAUUUGAUUGGCCCGCAUAGAUGAGCAUUCGGCGGCCAUUUUGGCGGGAUAAAUCAAAUGUUUCAUUUGAAUUUGUUUUCCACGAUAAUGAUUUCGCCGACCGCCUGUGCGAGUAUUUAUGGCAUCGAUUUUGCCGCAAAAACAAAGUCGAUAUGAUGGAAUCAUUAAUGGAGGCAAUUAAGAAACAAUAUAUUUUUAAAUAAGGUUGGUAGUAUGAUACAUAGGAACUUUGAAAGCUCAUCUAUGCGGGCCAAUCAAAUAAUAGAUGGAAGCAACAUGGCGUCAAAGUAGCGUGUAAAAUACCCUAAAAACGCGAACUUUACAUACUCAUAACUUUUGAACCGCUAAUUUCCUAAAGUUACGACCUACAUUUAUGGAUUUUACGUGUCAAAAACUAUUAAAGAGCAAAAAAAAA
Non-coding RNA from Osmia lignaria (orchard mason bee), 685 nucleotides. The record is from RefSeq and is a predicted model, not a curated record. Lineage: Eukaryota; Metazoa; Arthropoda; Insecta; Hymenoptera; Megachilidae.